CUUAGUGGCGAACGGGUGAGUAACGCGUGAGUAACCUGCCCUGGAGUGGGGGACGAACAGUUGGAAACGACUGCUAAUACCGCAUAAGCCCACCGGAUCCGCAUGGAUCUGCGGGAAAAGGAUUUAUUCGCUUCAGGAUGGACUCGCGUCCAAUUAGCUAGUUGGUGAGGUAACGGCCCACCAAGGCGACGAUUGGUAGCCGGACUGAGAGGUUGAACGGCCACAUUGGGACUGAGACACGGCCCAGACUCCUACGGGAGGCAGCAUG
Molecule: ribosomal RNA, 268 nt
Filed under: uncultured bacterium
Lineage: Bacteria
Description: partial 16S ribosomal RNA
Rfam family: Bacterial small subunit ribosomal RNA
Source: RNAcentral